GACGAACGCUGGCGGCGUGCUUAACACAUGCAAGUCGUACGGUAAGGCCCUUUCGGGGGUACACGAGUGGCGGACGGGUGAGUAACACGUGAGUAACCUGCCCACCACUUUGGGAUAACGCUAGGAAACUGGUGCUAAUACUGGGUAUGUGACCCUGCUGCAUGGUGGGGGUUGGAAAGCUCCGGCGGUUGUGGAUGGAGUCGCAGCCUAUCAGCUUGUUGGUGGGGUAGUGGACUACCAAGGCGGCGACGGGUAGCCGGCCUGUGAGGGUGACCGGCCACAUUGGGAGUGAGAGACGGCCCAGACUCACACGGGAGGCAGCAGUGGGGAAUAUUGCACAAUGGGCGCAAGCCUGAUGCAGCAACGCCGCGUGCGGGAUGACGGCCGUCGGGUUGGAAACCGACUUCAGCAGGGACGAAGCUUUUUGUGACGGUACCUGCAGAAGAAGCACCGGCUAACUACGUG
RNAcentral lists this ribosomal RNA (465 nucleotides) under uncultured bacterium. RNAcentral describes it as "partial 16S ribosomal RNA". It matches the Rfam family "Bacterial small subunit ribosomal RNA", at positions 28 to 507 of the family's 1533-position model. The record is from RNAcentral.